GACGAACGCUGGCGGCGUGCUUAACACAUGCAAGUCGAACGGAAAGGCCCUGCUUGCCGGGUGCUCGAGUGGCGAACGGGUGAGUAACACGUGGGUGAUCUGCCCCUUACUUUGGGAUAAGCCUGGGAAACUGGGUCUAAUACUGGAUAGGACCAUGCUGUAGGUGGUGUGGUGGAAAGAUUAGUUUCGGUAAGGGAUGAGCUCGCGGCCUAUCAGCUUGUUGGUGGGGUAAUGGCCUACCAAGGCGUCGACGGGUAGCCGGCCGGAGAGGGUGGACGGCCAAAUUGGGACUGAGGGACGGCGCAGACUCCUACGGGAGGCAGCAGUGGGGAAUAUUGCACAAUGGGAGCAAGCCUGAUGCAGCGACGCCGCGUGGGGGAUGACGGGCUUCGGGUUGUAAGCUCCUUUCAGCCAUGACGAAGCGCUUGUGGUGACGGUAGUGGUAGAAGAAGCACCGGCUAACUACGUG
RNAcentral lists this ribosomal RNA (469 nucleotides) under uncultured bacterium. RNAcentral describes it as "partial 16S ribosomal RNA". It matches the Rfam family "Bacterial small subunit ribosomal RNA", at positions 28 to 507 of the family's 1533-position model. The record is from RNAcentral.